Long non-coding RNA from Nycticebus coucang (slow loris), 8175 nucleotides. RefSeq lists it as uncharacterized. The record is from RefSeq and is a predicted model, not a curated record. The transcript is spliced from 3 exons. Lineage: Eukaryota; Metazoa; Chordata; Mammalia; Primates; Lorisidae.
UAUGUUUUAAAGCAUGCAUACCUCAAAUCUACAUUUAAAAGUAAAUAUUUGCCAAAGUGGUCAUAAAAAGGUAUACUCCAACAGUGAAUUAGAUUUCUCUUGGUUCCUUACUGGCAUAUUGGUCAUACCUUAAGUUUUUGUUGCCAUACUUUUGAUGAAGCUAAAUAUCUUAUCACAUGUCUAGCAGACAUUUAUUUUUCCAUUCAGGAAUGCAUAAAAUAUGCUCAAAUUUUUAAUCACUUUUCUUUUUUUAAGUUGUCACAGAACUUAUAAUUAUGUGUACUCAGAUAUUAAUUCUACCCUGAUCAUGUGUGUUGCAAAUAUACGCUCAAAGUUUGUAGCUUGUAUUUUCUUUUCUUUUUCUUUUUUUUGACUUUUUUUUAUUCUUUUUUUUUAUUAUUGUUGGGGAUUCAUUGAGGGUACAGUAAGUCAGGUUACAUUGAUUGCAAUUGUUAGGCAAUGUCCCUCUUGCAAUCAUGUCUUGCCCCCUGUAGCUUGUAUUUUCAUUAUUAAUGUAUCUUUCAGUGAACAAUGUAUAAAAGUUUUUCCUUAAUGGGUGAUGCUGUUUGGUUUUUUGCUUGUUUGUUUGAGACAGAGUCUCACUUUGUUGCUCUAGAUAGACUACUGUGGUGUUAUAGCUCACAGAAGCCUCAAAUUCUUGGGCUGAAGUGAUCCUCUUGCCUCAGCCUCCCAAGAAGCUGGGGAUACAGGCACCUGCCACAACACCCAGCUUUUUUAGAAACAGGGCCUCACUCUUGCUCAGGGCUGGUCUUGAACUCCUGAGCUCAAGCGAUCCACCCACCUCAGCCUCCCAGAGUGUUAGGAUUACAGGCAUGAGCCACAGUGCCCCACCUGGAUGAUGCUAUUUGAAUCUUGUUUACAAAAUCCUUCUCUAUGCAAAAACAAGGAAGUUAUUCUACUACGUGUUUGCCCCAAAAGUUUAACAUUUUCCUUUUGCAUUUAGAUUCUUAAAUUAUGGCCUUAACAUUUGCGUAUGGUAUGCGAUCGGAAUAGAAUUUAAUUAUUUUCUGUGUGACUAAUCAGUAGCUUCAGAAGCUUUCCCCACUGAUCUGUGUGGCCAAAUCUAUCAUGAAUUAUAUAUUCUAUAUAUUUGAAGCCUGUUCUAUUCCUGAUUUAUAGCCAUGCUAUAUAAAAUUAAUUUAUGAGCUUUAGUGUCUUUCUAUCUGAUGACAGCAGUCCUUUGCCUUCAUCCUUCUGUUAGCUAUCCACCUGUUCUAUCCUUGUGGUCCUCUUUCUCCCCUACUUCCCUAACUUAUUCUUCUCUCAUGUAUCUAAUUUCCUCUUUUUCUCCUUCUUCUCAGCACUCCUUCUUUUCUCUUCUCUUCUUACAGUUCCCCCUCUGCCUUUUCUCCCUUUCUCUCUCUCUCACUUUGUCUUCAUUCCAAUCUUACCAUUCCCCUCUUUAUUCUUGAAACGACUAAUAAUCAUGUGAAUCUCAAAUGAGCUGUAGCUGAGUGUGGGAGAUAAAAAUGAGAGUGAGGAUUUAAGUUGAGGGAGAAGUUCACUUAUUCUUCCUGAAAGAAUACAUUCCAAAGGGGAGAUAAACAGGGAUCCAGAAAUGAUUCCUAUAGGAGAUGGCAUACGAGUCAAGACUUAAAACGACAUCUAGAUUUCACAGUGCACUUCUUCAAGGACAAGGCCUUCCCAGUGUGGGGUAUACAUUGAAAAAAGUACGGAAUGUACACAUGUGGAUGAUAGCUGGCAUGCAGUGAGCAGCCCAUUUCAGAGAGUGCAGAGGGUGCACAUGGUGAGGAGUCUUAAGUCGGUAAAGGAGAGUGACCUUGGUAACCUUUCCUUGUGAGCCAUUGAAGAACCACGAGAAGUUAUAGGGAAGCUACAUGACAGCGGUGUGUUAGAUAAGGCAAAGAUGUGAAGUGGGAUCCAGGAGACUUUGAAAUGGCAUUGGCAUAGUUUAGUCCAAAGGUUGCAAGGGCAUAUACUGGGAUCUUGGCAGCAGGAAUUAAAGUACACAUGAUGGACAUCUAUGAGGGUCUUUGCAAAAGGAGAAUCAGCCAGACCUGAGGACCAUGGGCUGUGAGAACAGGGAUGAGAUCAAAAGUAACACGGAAGCUUUGAUCAUGGAAUACCAGGAGGUUACAGAUCCCACUUACCAGGACUAUCUGAGAAUGCACAAUAGUGAUUGAAAAUUGCAAAUUUGGUCCCUCAGAGGAACAGCUGAUGCCAUACAUUUUGGUUUGGAGGCUAUAUAUGAAAAAGUAAUAGCUGCAGCUGUGAGUUCAUGGAAUCAAUAAAUGAGAUAGGAUAUUGAGAGAGAUGUGUGACUAUGUUUAAGGUACAGAAAAUGGAAAGGGCAGCUAAGGAAGGAGAGAGGAGAAUGUAGAUGUGUAUGAAAGUGCAAGUCUGGACACUAUGGUGUAAAGGAAGCUAAGAAACAAUUCACCUCAUCCUUGAAUUGGCCAAAAUUGGAGUCAUCAUCCUACAAUUAUUAAUAGGCCAACAGAGCCCAUUGCCCUGGGGAAAAUCCGUGUCCACCUUCUAGAUCCAAAACCCUUAGAACACUCAAUAUCCCCAAGACAUUAAGGAAAAGGCAGAGGGCUGCUGACGUCUGUAGGCCCAGGUUGGUGGAGGACUGGGAUGGGGAAAUUAGUGCUUAUUGUGUCACAUGCUGAGAUGUUGAGCAGUGUGAGGACUGCUUGCAAUCACUAAGUUUGGUAAUGCAGAGUUUAUCAUUCAGUUUGGAAAGACUAGUUUCAGGAGAGGGUUAGAGGAUAGAUAUCAGAUUUCAAAGAUUUUGAGAGCAAGUAACAAAUGAGGAAAGAUAGCUGAUUUACUCUAUAGCUUUGAGAAUUAAAAAGAUUAGGAAGGAGUUCUGAUAGGUCAAGGGGCUUCAGGGAAGGGAAAAAUAAGGCAUUGCUUUUACUAUGGGGAAGAACUUGUUUGUGGUACAGAAAAAUAAAAGACAGAGAAUGGAUCUGAAGAAGCAGAAGUGGAUGAAAGCCUGGAGUUAGUCUGAGUUCAUAGAACCUAGAAUACAAGGAGAGAGGCAUUGUGUGGGGAAAAAAGGAUGAGUGAGACCUCCUACUUUGAGGAAAAAAGGAGGUCUGAAGAAAUUAAGAUAAAGAGGGAUUUCAAGAUAGAAAAAAGCCUGCCAAGGAAACACGAUGAAUCAUCUUGCUCUCUGAGAAGCAGAAGGAGGAGUCAGCUGCUUAGAGCAUGAAGGGGCCGAAUGGACUCAAGACUGAGAAUCACACGGGACCACAAACAAAUAGCUUUGCAAGAGAUGAUUAAGAUUUCAUCACCGAUCUGUAGCAGAAUCCAUAGUAACCUAUCUGUUUAUCUUUUACUUGUGCACCACAGAGAUAUUGCCUGUUCAGUUCUAGAGCAACUCAAGAAACAGAGUCACAAUUGCUUGAGUUUCCCGUUGCAUGUACAAGUUAUGCUUACACUGCAGUCUGGUAUAUUCUACAGUCUGUUAAGUGCACAAAAGAGUUAAGUCUAAAACAAAGGCACACACCUUAAUUAGAAAAUAAUUUACUGCUAAAAAUGCUGACACAGAUUCUGGAAGUGAACUCAUGUUAUUGGAAAAAUGGUGCUAAUAGAUUUGCUUGACACAGGGUUACCACAAAACCAAACCUUAGAUUUAUAAAAUGGGCAAUAUCUGCAAAGCACGAUACAAUGGCACACAAUAAAAUGAAGUAUGCCUGCAUGAUGACUGCCCCUUGGUGUUAGUGUUAGGGUUUGAGUAAUUUCAGAUUUACUUUCCUGAUAUUAGCCCUGAAUAGUUGAGAGAAAGAUUUUCAUUUUCUGUCUUACUACUUAAAAAAAUAUGUUAAUAGGCAAAAAUAGAAAUCAAAGCCAUCCCUUUCUUUGUGUGUGUGUGAAAUUACAGAGCACACGUUUAAAAACCAAGUUUUUCUUUACAGGCAAACCUAAAUCUUGAGGGGUAUAAAAAAAGGUUUCAUAUGGGAGGCUGGAUUUUUAGGCUAAUGAAUGCAACUCUAUUUUUGAUACUAUGCUGUGUGUUUAUAUAAAAUAGAGGAGCAUUUUAGGCCAAUUAGUGGCUUGCAAACCCUAUACUUUUUCCAGCAAGGGCUAAGCCUGACAAACUUGAGAAGUUAACACAGAAAAGUGUUGGCAGUGGACCAUGCGGUUGGCCUGACUCAAGGCAACAAAGCUUUAGCAUAAAUUAGUUUUUAUUUGUUAAAAGAAAAACAAAUUCUGUUUGUUUUUGCAAUACAGUUUGUUGGUUCUUUUAAUAUAGGGGAAAAUUUGGGGAAUUCCAGUUCUCAGAGAAGUGAGAAGCUGAGCUCGACAGGAGCCAGGUCCCAGCUCACAGGCCCUGUGUAAACACCCACAUGCGUCUUCCUCAAUACACCUCGGUCUGAGGCAGUAGGGCGGGCCUGUUAUGCCUGGACCUCAGCUGAACCAAGAGUGCCAGCCAGCGCAUGAUUACUGUGGGAUCCACAGUAGAUUAUUCAGACCACCAAAAGGGCGCCAUGUGGCUCUCUUUAACCCUGACUUUUAUGUAGUGGAUACGGAAAGCAAGAUUUAGAGAAAGGUAUUACUUCAAUGGAAUCUAGAGGUCAUCUCAUCUUUCCCUUAGUUUUGUAGGUAAGAACAGUGAAGACCAGGCAUAGAAUUUGGCUUAGUCAAAGGAGCAGACUGGUAUAAUCACUGACACACUCAAUUCUCAAGUCAAAGAUCCUUUAAUGUAAACUGUACAAUACAAACUGCACAAUCAGCUGGCUGUGUGAAGAGCGCUGGAGGAAAUGAGAGUCACUUUAAAAAAAAAAAAAAACCCUGCAUAGAAAAAAUGACAUAGAUGAAAAUCAAAUGACUUGUAGCCCAGCUAAGGGUAAAAUCUUCUAAGUUCAGAAUUUCUGUGAUCAUUUUACACUUCACUCAAUAGCAUAAACAUAGGUCUCAGCUGCAAUUCCCAGCUGAAAAGGAGCUUGGUGUGCCUGGGGAAACUUGCUGUGACUGUUGCUACACAGUGGGUAGAAUUUCCAGAUUUGAGGUUCAGCGUUUCCGUGAGAAGGCUGUAACUAGUGGGAGUUCACAUGCACCAUGCAUUUGAUACCCAAAACUGUGAAGUACUGUGGCAGAAAGGAUGCGUUGUCCCCAAUUUUCUUUUGCUAUAGCAAUAGAAUCCUGAUUUUGACAUGGGAACUAAUACAGGCCACAUAUUCCAACUUUCUUUGCUGCUAGGCGAGACCACGUAGAUAAAUUCUGGCCAGUAGGAUGAACACCAAGGUUAUGAGAUCUAGGUGGAGUCAAGAUAUAGGAGACACAGGUUCUAUGUCACACCCACAGCAGGAAACAGCGCACUCCCUUCUCCUGUCUACUCCCCCUCACGGGAACGAUGCUGGUCUUAAGAAACUUUGUUCAAAGUCAUUUAGGUGGAUUAAUGAAUAAUAAAUGCAAAAGAUUAUCAUUACUAUGAAGGUAAGGGAUUGCAUGACCUUGGGCACAUUAUUUAAUCACUCUGUUUCUUCAAUUGAAGUUUGAGAUUUCUAAUAAUUGAGGGAGAUAGAUAUUAGAAGGAAUAUAUAUAAAACAGUGAUCACCAUGUUGUCACAUUCACUAUUCACUAUCUAUAUAUUAGAAGGAAUAUAUAGAAAAUGAUGAUUACCAUGUUGUCAAUAUUCACAGCCAGGCGAGAGGACUGGAAGGCAAAGACACAGAGGCCACGGAUGUGACGGGAUGACAAGGCGGCAGCAGAUGGCCUUCCUCUUUUUCAUGAGGCUGCUAUGGGGCAUUCCUCACCGAGCAGGACAGGGCUCUGUGGUUACUGCUGGAACUCUUUGUCCUGAGUUAACAGUAACAGGAAGAGUGACUCAACAUCCAGCCUCAAAGGAUGGAGAAGCUGAGUCUGGUUUGGAACUUCCUUUCUCAAGUCAGGGCUGGCCUGGGAACUGGAUGAGUAGAAUUGAGUGUUAGUGUGAUCCACGGAGACCAAGGGGCUAGUGAGGGCAGGGCGGAUGGGAAAAAAGCCCAAAGCAAUGCAAGGAUUCUGAUAACGAGGAUGUUUAUUAGCCUGAUGAUUUGAGCUGUUUUAAUAGUCAGUAGGCCUAAACUUGAAUCCCAGAUCUACUCCUGAUAACAACUGUUAUAGGUACAAAUUUUUACAUCAUGUAAAUGGGAGUAAUAGCUACCUUUUGAGGACUGUUAAUAAUAGCCGUCAUCUACUGAGUUCUUAUGAGGGAUCCAUCACUCUUGCAUACAGUUUUUGCAUAUUAUUUUAGGUAAUCUUCACAACAACAUUGAGGGUAGGAACUCUCAUGAUUUCCAGGUUACAGAAAAGAAAACUGGGGUCUAGAGAGGUCAGAACACAGGUUUAUAAUCAAAAUCUACUUCUCAACUGCUUUCCCAUUCAAGAACAAAUGAGAAAACGUAAGUACGUAACACAGUGCUUGGCUUAUUGCCGUGAAUAAAUGGUAAUGUCGUAAUAUUAUCUCAAUUUUAGAGAUGAACAACAUAAAGGUAAGAGCAGCUGAGUGACUUUCCCUAAAUCACGUGACUGCAUUGCUCAAAGGAUGCUUAAGCUUUUAACUCCACAGGGUUUCCCUACCCCUGCAUUCUGCCAAGCACCAAAAGGGUGAAAGCAGUUUGGCAGCAGCCACCUUAUCCAGAACUGAGUAAUCAUGCUCCAGUAAUUCUCAGGGGGUCACGCCUGAACUCUCAGGACAUGGCCUUAUCCUUCUCAGACAGGAUGUGCGUGGUGCCAGACGCAUCUUAAACACAGCAGCCACCAGCCGCCCUCAUCCCACGACUACUGCUCAGCCUCCUUUCCAAAGACGCAGGCGCCUGGAAUGCUCUCGUCACGUGACCAAUCGCUCACUUAUGUUUGUGAAGUUUCUCAGCCAAGAGGAAAACCAUUAGGUAUCAAAUUGCAAGUAGAGAGCAUCCAAGAAGCUGCCUAUUCCAGCGCCAGCUCCUGCCAGAGAACCUUAAAUAAACUCGGUGCAGGGAAGAUGUCUGAAUUUACUCUGUGUGCAGUAUAUUUAGCUUGUUAGAUUAAUACAUAGAACUUUAUUUCGUCGAAUUAAUUAGCUUGAGUCCUAAAAGCAGACAAAACAAAUGGGCUGUUUUGUUUUUCUUUUUCCCUUCUCAUUUCCUUUGUGGGUUUCUUUUGGGUUAGUUAAUGCACUACUUAGGAUAAAAGAAAAAUCUAUGUAAAGAGUUAAGUAGCUCUGUAUUUAUUUGUAUUUUUAGCCAAAGGUGAAGGUAAAGUCAAGCAAUUUCUCUAAUGAUCAAUCGCUAGACACAGCAGUCACCUGGAUAGAAAAGAAGGCUUGAAGACAUAAGAGGAAAAGAUCAAUAUGCUUUAAAAACUAUAAUUAAAUACUUAAAAGUUUGUCUUUUUUUUUAAAGGCUAUUAUUUCCAUAUAAUAGAUCCAGAAUGAAAGUGAGCGGUUAUAUUCCUCAUUUGAAAAAGAAGCCUAAGAAGGCAGAACCUCCUUAUGUUUUGCAUGACUUAAUGAAUUUCAUGCCGCCUGACUUUCUCAUCACAAGGGGCAUUAAUAUAAAUGACUCUCUCCAAGCAACAGACGCUGGAGGCGGAAGCUCGGCUCUCCAGAGUCCCCCCUGAGGAAGGAGAGUGUGAGCGGCUUCCCUGCACAUCCUGAUUCUGAAUGCUUGAAAUGGGAGCGGGUGGACCAGGAAGAGGAGAAGAAAGAUCACAUGGGGUACAAAGGAACUUACAAUGCACGAUGCGCAGAUACAGGAACUUACAUUGUACAAAUGCAAAGAAACAGACAGACACAGAGGAAGAAGACCAGCAGCCCACUAGCCCAGGGGCGGCGGUUUCCUACAAUGGAAACAAGACUGUAAAUGUAGCACAGAGGUGGCAAGUGUUCAGACUGCUGAUAAGAUUUGUCAAGCCAGCUAAUAUAAAUAUUUGAGUUUGCCAACUCCAGCUCUUGAAUGGUUUGGGGAAGACCCUGAAGUCAGCAUAUUUAGAGGCAUAAAAAUGAUCAGUCCAGCAGAGAUGAGCUUGGGAUUCAAGGAAAAGAAUGUACGACACCAAGACUACAACUAACAUGAAGACAGAACUGACUUCUAAUAAGAAAAUAUUGUUAGAGUUAUCAUCACAGUUUCAAUUUAUUUAAGAUUACAAACACAACAUGUAUGCAUGCUUAUUUUUCUGAAAUCUACACUUCUUAAAUUAUCUUUAUUAAAGAUGUGUUUAAU